Molecule: ribosomal RNA, 692 nt
Filed under: uncultured Methanoregula sp.
Lineage: Archaea; Methanobacteriati; Methanobacteriota; Methanomicrobia; Methanomicrobiales; Methanoregulaceae
Description: bacterial SSU rRNA
Rfam family: Archaeal small subunit ribosomal RNA
Source: RNAcentral
GUAGUUGAAAGGUCAGCCGCCAUAGGAUGGGUCUGCGGCCGAUUAGGUUGUUGUUGGGGUAACGGCCCAACAAGCCUGUAAUCGGUACGGGUUGUGGGAGCAAGAGCCCGGAGAUGGAUUCUGAGACACGAAUCCAGGCCCUACGGGGCGCAGCAGGCGCGAAAACUUUACAAUGCGGGAAACCGUGAUAAGGGAACUCCGAGUGCCCGUAAAAUCGGGCUGUCCAUCUGUUUAAAUAACAGGUGAAGAAAGGGCCGGGCAAGACCGGUGCCAGCCGCCGCGGUAAUACCGGCGGCUCGAGUGGUGGCCACUAUUACUGGGCUUAAAGCGUUCGUAGCUGGUCUGUUAAGUCUCUGGGGAAAUCUACUGGCUUAACCAAUAGGCGUCUCAGGGAUACUGGCAGACUAGGGACCGGGAGAGGUGAGAGGUACUUCAGGGGUAGGAGUGAAAUCCUGUAAUCCUUGGGGGACCACCUGUGGCGAAGGCGUCUCACCAGAACGGCUCCGACAGUGAGGGACGAAAGCUGGGGGAGCAAACCGGAUUAGAUACCCGGGUAGUCCCAGCUGUAAACGAUGCGCGUUAGGUGUAUCGGUGACCACGAGUCACCGAGGUGCCGAAGAGAAAUCGUGAAACGUGCCGCCUGGGAAGUACGGUCGCAAGGCUGAAACUUAAAGGAAUUGGCGGGGGAGCAC